UACGUAGGGACCGAGCGUUGUCCGGAUUCAUUGGGCGUAAAGAGCUCGUAGGCGGCCACUCAAGUCGAAUGUGAAACCUCGAGGCUCAACCUCGAGCCUGCAUUCGAUACUGGGCGGCUAGAGUCUGGUAGGGGGAUCUGGAAUUCCUGGUGUAGCGGUGGAAUGCGCAGAUAUCAGGAGGAACACCGGUGGCGAAGGCAGGUCUCUGGGCAGUAACUGACGCUGAGGAGCGAAAGCGUGGGGAGCGAACAGG
Molecule: ribosomal RNA, 253 nt
Filed under: uncultured bacterium
Lineage: Bacteria
Description: partial 16S ribosomal RNA
Rfam family: Bacterial small subunit ribosomal RNA
Source: RNAcentral